This 428-nucleotide ribosomal RNA is filed under the name uncultured bacterium. Its description in RNAcentral is "bacterial SSU rRNA". It matches the Rfam family "Bacterial small subunit ribosomal RNA", at positions 355 to 776 of the family's 1533-position model. The record is from RNAcentral.
UCGAGGAUCUUUAGCAAUGCCCGAAAGGGUGACUAUGCGACGCCGCGUGCAGGAUGAAGGCCUUCGGGUUGUAAACUGCUGUCAGAGGGGAAGAAACGCUUCAUGUUAAUAGCAUGAGGCUUGACAUUACCCUCAAAGGAAGCCACGGCUAACUCUGUGCCAGCAGCCGCGGUAAGACAGAGGUGGCAAGCGUUGUUCGGAUUUAUUGGGUGUAAAGGGCAGGUAGGUGGCCUCGUAAGUCUGGCGUGAAAUCCCAGAGCUCAACUCUGGAAAUGCGCUGGAAACUACAAGGCUUGAGUGCUGGAGAGGUUAGGGGAAUUCCCGGUGUAAGGGUGAAAUCUGUAGAUAUCGGGAGGAAUACCAGUGGCGAAGGCGCCUAACUGGCCGGCAACUGACACUGAACUGCGAAAGCAAGGGGAGCAAACAGG